GUACGGAAGGCAGCAGUGGGGAAUAUUGGACAAUGGGCGAAAGCCUGAUCCAGCCAUGCCGCGUGUGUGAAGAAGGCCUUUUGGUUGUAAAGCACUUUAAGCGGGGAGGAGGCUACUUUGGUUAAUACCCAAGGAUAGUGGACGUUACCCGCAGAAUAAGCACCGGCUAACUCUGUGCCAGCAGCCGCGGUAAUACAGAGGGUGCGAGCGUUAAUCGGAAUUACUGGGCGUAAAGCGCGCGUAGGCGGCUUGUUAAGUCGGAUGUGAAAUCCCUGGGCUCAACCUAGGCAUUGCAUACGAUACUGGCAAGCUAGAGUAUGGGAGAGGAAGGUAGAAUUCCAGGUGUAGCGGUGAAAUGCGUAGAGAUCUGGAAGAAUACCGAUGGCGAAGGCAGCCUUCUGGCCUAAUACUGACGCUGAGGUGCGAAAGCAUGGGGAGCAAACAGGAUUAGAUACCCGCGUAGUCCC
RNAcentral lists this ribosomal RNA (467 nucleotides) under uncultured bacterium. RNAcentral's name for it is "bacterial SSU rRNA". It matches the Rfam family "Bacterial small subunit ribosomal RNA", at positions 339 to 797 of the family's 1533-position model. The record is from RNAcentral.